This 253-nucleotide ribosomal RNA is filed under the name uncultured bacterium. RNAcentral describes it as "partial 16S ribosomal RNA". It matches the Rfam family "Bacterial small subunit ribosomal RNA", at positions 524 to 776 of the family's 1533-position model. The record is from RNAcentral.
UACAGAGGGGGCAAGCGUUGUUCGGAAUUACUGGGCGUAAAGGGCGCGUAGGUGGCGUCGUAAGUCGGGUGUGAAAGCCCUCGGCUUAACUGAGGAAGUGCAUCCGAAACUGGCAGGCUAGAGUACCAAAGAGGGUCGCGGAAUUCCCGGUGUAGAGGUGAAAUUCGUAGAUAUCGGGAGGAACACCGGUGGCGAAGGCGGCGACCUGGGUGGAUACUGACGCUGAGGUGCGAAAGCGUGGGGAGCAAACAGG